Molecule: long non-coding RNA, 742 nt
Organism: Numida meleagris (helmeted guineafowl)
Lineage: Eukaryota; Metazoa; Chordata; Aves; Galliformes; Numididae
Exons: 2
Source: RefSeq, a predicted model, not a curated record
AUCACGCUCCCUCGCGCUCAAAGGGCGCGGCCGUGUUUGUGUGGGGACGUUGCGGGGCCCUCGGCGGCCCCGGGCGGGGGUGCGGUGCGCGCGGCGCUGCCUCGGAGCUGAGAGGGCUCUACGCGGCACUGCCGUGCUCUGCCCCGCCGUUGGGGGGCGCUCGCUGCGUCGCGCUCGCUGCGGCCCGGCCCCGGCCCGGCCCCGGACGCCAUCUUCUCGCCUCGGGCGUGAGGGAGUCGCCGAGGCCUGCGGGGCGGGCGGCGCUGCCUUCGUGUGCCCCUCAGGCUGAGGGGAAGGAGCUGAAAGUACGGCCUGAAACCUUCUGAGUGUCUGAGAUUAUGGGUUACGUUUCUUUGCAAGCAUCUCAAAAAGACUAACUCUCUGAGCCGGCUGUUAGUGCUUUCCAGCCGCCCUGGCUCCCACCCCCUGAGCUCUGACCGAGCGCGUGCCGUAAUGUAACGUCCCCCUCUCUGAAGGACCGCGUGUGUAAAACGUGCUCAGCAGCUGAUGCGCACCUCUUCUGUAAAGCCCUGUGGAAGAUGAGCCCCGUUUGCGGAAGAAUGCUGAGGUGACUCAUCCAUCUGUAACUAGAGCAAAAAUUCCAGGUAAGCAUUAUCCUAUCCUUAAAUAGUUCCGUGUGUGCUCUUAGAGUGCUCCCUUGGGGUUUUAGAGUACUUUAUCGCCAUUCAUUCAUUAAUUCAUUAAUCUUCAAGAUGAAGGAAAUAAAAUAUAGACAAACUCA